CCUGACUGCUAUCGGAUUGAUACUAAGCCAUGCGAGUCAUUGUAGCAAUACAAGGCAUACUGCUCAGUAACACGUGGAUAACCUGCCCUACACUGGGGGAUAAUCUCGGGAAACUGAGCAUAAUACCCCAUAGACCACUACGCCUGGAACGGUGAGUGGUUGAAAGCUUCGGCGGUGUAGGAUGGGUCUGCGGCGUAUCAGGUUGUAGGGGGUGUAAUGGACCUCCUAGCCAUCGACGCGUACGGGUUGUGGGAGCAAUAGCCCGGAGACGGAUUCUGAGACACGAAUCCGGACCCUACGGGGUGCAGCAGGCGCGAAAACUUCACACUGCAGGAAACUGUGAUGAGGGAACUCCAAGUGACUGCACAAUGUGUAGCCUUUUCUUGAAUUUUAAUAGUUCUUGGAAUAAGGGCUGGGAAAGACCGGUGCCAGCCGCCGCGGUAAUACCGGCAGCUCGAGUGGUCGUCGCUUUUAUUGGGCCUAAAACGUCCGUAGCCUGUUUGGUAAAUCUGUGGGUAAAUCAAUCCGCUUAACGGAUUGAAUUCUGCAGAGACUGCCAGACUAGGGACCGGGAGAGGUAUGAGGUACUCUGGGGGUAGGGGUAAAAUCCUGUCAUCCUCAGAGGACCACCUGUUGCGAAGGCGUCAUACUGGAACGGAUCCGACGGUCAGGGACGAAGCCUAGGGGCACGAACCGGAUUAGAUACCCGGGUAGUCCUAGGUGUAAACGCUGUGGAUUUGGUGUGUGGGGUCCGCAAUGGGCCCCAUGUGCCGGAGUGAAGAUGUUAAAUCCACUGCCUGGGGAGUACGGUCGCAAGGCUGAAACUUAAAGGAAUUGGCGGGGGAGCACUGCAACGGGAGGAGCGUGCGGUUCAAUUGGAGUCAACGCCAGAAAUCUUACCCGGAGAGACAGCAGAAUGAAGGUCAAGCUGAAGACUUUACCAGACAAGCUGAGAGGUGGUGCAUGGCCGUCGCCAGCUCGUGCCGUGAGAUGUCCUGUUAAGUCAGGUAACGAGCGAGAUCCCUGCCUCUAGUUGCCACCAUUACUCUCAGGAGUAGUGGGGCGAAUUAGCGGGACCGCCGCAGUUAAUGCGGAGGAAGGAAGGGGCCACGGCAGGUCAGUAUGCCCCGAAACUCUGGGGCCACACGCGGGCUGCAAUGGUAGCGACAAUUGGUUUCGAAUCCGAAAGGAUGAGGUAAUCCACAAACGCUACCACAGUUAUGACUGAGGGCUGCAACUCGCCCUCACGAAUAUGGAAUCCCUAGUAACUGCGUGUCAUUAUCGCGCGGUGAAUACGUCCCUGCUCCUU
This 1309-nucleotide ribosomal RNA is filed under the name uncultured marine archaeon. RNAcentral describes it as "partial 16S ribosomal RNA". It matches the Rfam family "Archaeal small subunit ribosomal RNA", at positions 21 to 1338 of the family's 1478-position model. The record is from RNAcentral.